GGACGAGCAAAGAAGAAACCCUCGUCUGCAGCAAGGACCUGGCUUUAUCAUUGAUUUAUUGCAAGGCCUCAGCCACACCAACAGAGCCUCAGCAGAGAGCAGCAUGCGGCCACAACGAGAAGUAGCCAGGCCAAAGACCACCUAACCCCUCGGCUUCGCAGUCCAGCUGGUCAUAGGUUCACAGCACUUUUGGCUCUGGAGCUGGGCAGCGCCACUCUCUACUGGUAUGCAAAAACCCCCAUGCGCUCUGACAGCCCUUCCUGAAGCCCAUCAGCAUCUCCUCGCCAGGGUUUUGGGCUGCACCCGGACCCAAGUCCAGAAGUCCUUCCUCGCUGCCCUAGGAGACAUUUCCCUCUCCCACAUUAGCAAGUUUCCUUUUGCAAGACCAGAGCCAUUUCCAGUCCAUCCCAGCUCUGCAAGGGUGCUCUGCAGUGUGACAGCUCUCGGGGGGGACAGCCCCAUGGUGGCUUCAGUCCCCCUCACACAGCCCUCCUGUGCCUUCGUGCCCAGCGGUGCUACAGAUGUACAGCGUCUGUUCUGUGUUCGCUGGGCAGGACGGCAUGAAAAGAGCCAGAUGCUUUGGUUAAAAAAAAAAAUUAAAAAGAAAGAAAAAAAAUAAUAAAAAUCAGUGCCCAAUUUCACAUCUGCAGCUCCAGAAAGCCAAUGAGAAACAAUGGUCCAGAGCAGGGCUGGGUGUGUGCUGGUGGAAACCCAGACCUGCUGAUCCUCGUGUGAACGGCACCAGCCCCGAAAUCCCCAGGCCAGCCCUGCAGGCAGCGGGGCUCAGCCAGAAACAGCCCCUGGCUCUGCGGGUCUGGGGCCGGUCCCCGCAGGCGGCACAGGCACAGCCGGUUCCUGAGCUCGCCCCAGCUCCCCAUCAGCACCAGUUGCUGAUCUUGUCACCAAAGCAAAGCCAGCAGAUGAAGCCUCCAAACUCCCUUUUUGCAUUGCUUUGAGCUUGAAAUACAGGAAGGGAAAUUAAUCUGAAUGCACAGCUUACUCCGUGCCUUCCAACAAGAGUGACCUUGACUUUUAACCAUUGCUUUUCCUUUCCUACCCCUGAGGCUCUCGUGCCCGGAACAAAUCAACCCCGAGGGAAUCAGCCAGCUCUGCCUCAGUCUUGAGGUCUGCUUUCCUGUACAUAGUAAUGUGCAGCAGCUCUCGGGAUUGUGUAAAUACGGUCUGAGAAGCACAACUGUGCAACAGCAACAACAUUUGGCACAAACACAUCUGCCACUGAGCUGUGCCAUGGCACGCAGUGCCAUUAACAGCCAUGUGGCUCUUCCCAAAAAACCUUGUCACCGGGAGCUGGGGACCAGGUGAGCCUGGGCUGGAAGGCGCAGAUGCAGUCAGAUGGAUGCAAUCUCAGCUCUCGGGCGACUCUUACAAACAGCUAAUUUGCAGCAGAAAGUCAAGAAACGGAGCCACCCGAUCUGCUGUCCCCUCUCCCAGCGUCUCCCCGUUGCCGGAGGUGAGGGGAGCUGCUCACCGGCUGGAAGGGCGGGGAGCACCCGCACGGUUAUUCUCAGUAAUAAGAUGCCUGUCAACAUAUAAACCAAUUAGGUGCAGCUUUUGAGCUCGUAAUAAGGCUGGGCAAAAUGCUUUCUCUGAGCAAGUGC
Molecule: long non-coding RNA, 1619 nt
Organism: Anser cygnoides (Swan goose)
Lineage: Eukaryota; Metazoa; Chordata; Aves; Anseriformes; Anatidae
Source: Ensembl